This 159-nucleotide unclassified non-coding RNA is filed under the name uncultured Penicillium. RNAcentral describes it as "sequence contains ITS2". Lineage: Eukaryota; Fungi; Ascomycota; Eurotiomycetes; Eurotiales; Aspergillaceae. The record is from RNAcentral.
CUGCCCUCAAGCCCGGCUUGUGUGUUGGGUCUCGUCCCCCCCGGGGGACGGGCCCGAAAGGCAGCGGCGGCACCGUGUCCGGUCCUCGAGCGUAUGGGGCUUUGUCACCCGCUCCGUAGGCCCGGCCGGCGCCUGUCGACCCCCAAUCUAUUUUUUUCA